ACACCUCCACCUGCCCCGCCAUGGCGCCGCCGCCACAGACCACCCCCGGCCGUUCUGAGGGCACCGGGAGGUGCGCCUCGUCCUCCUCUUCAACCUGGUUCAAGGAAUCGAGCCGGGGGCGCCCUACAUCGCCGCCCUCGUCCUCUUUUCUCCCUCAGCUCCGGCGGCGAAUUCCGUCGCUUCGUCGCUGACUGUCCUCCUCCGGCCAAACCGAGAAGACCAGCGUGUUCCUGAUGCUCACCGCCGACGGUUCUCCGGUGAUGCCCCGGUUCCGGCGACACCCCAUCCUGCUUCCCCAUGGCGAGGCGCACCCCCGCAGCGCACUCAAUCAUCCUGGUUCGCUCCGUGCCGCCAAAUCCGAGCUCGACUCGAGCUCAGUCAUGGCGUUCUGUCUCAGACCCCGCCUUGUUCUGGGUCAAAACAGCGGCACGUCUUUCUCUAAUCAAAACAGACCGAUCAGCUUAGUGAUCCGGCGCUCGAUGGGCCUCAGCCCAUGUCUUCCUGGCGCAGCUAGAUGCUGAUGUGCGCCCAACAUCUAUCCGCCGCCGGCCCAGCACAGACGCAGCAGGGUUCCCAGGCCAGCAUUUGUUUCUUCCCGGAUAGGAUCGCGAAGUGAUGUGGUGAGAUACG
This is a long non-coding RNA of Lolium rigidum, 630 nucleotides long. RefSeq lists it as uncharacterized. Lineage: Eukaryota; Viridiplantae; Streptophyta; Magnoliopsida; Poales; Poaceae. The transcript has 4 exons. The record is from RefSeq and is a predicted model, not a curated record.